AAAUUGGCUUUUUUCAAAGCCAUAGCCAUUUUACAUAAUGCUGGCAG
This is a non-coding RNA of Tyto alba (common barn owl), 47 nucleotides long. NCBI's taxonomy places the organism in Eukaryota, Metazoa, Chordata, Aves, Strigiformes, Tytonidae. The record is from Rfam.